This is a non-coding RNA of Nylanderia fulva, 1746 nucleotides long. The record is from RefSeq and is a predicted model, not a curated record. Lineage: Eukaryota; Metazoa; Arthropoda; Insecta; Hymenoptera; Formicidae.
CUUACUUACUCUCUCUGUGUGCUACUUUUAUUACGUUUUGUAAUUAAUUUUAUUAAGUUUAUAAUUACUGAUUGUCAGUUUUUUUCGUUUGUGCGAUGAUUGCAUUUUUUGUUUCAUCAGUUUAUCAGCUUCAUCAAUUACCUCGGCUAAGAAAGCUUCUGUCAUUGGUAAGUACGGCAAAUCGGUCUCGACAGGAGCUCUCGAUCUUCCGACGACGCCGUCCAAUUCAAUUUGAAGUAGCUUCAACCAUUCAGGAUGUACUGACAGAAAGAGAAACGUGGUCGCUAAGGUGUCUGUGGUCGUCUUCGAUCCGGCCAAGAAGAGAUCAAGGCAUAAUAUCAUUAAAUUCUCACCUGCAAAAAGUGAAAUACAGACCAAUGACACAAUCAAAUUUUUAAUGCGCGACUCAUAAAAAAAAUUAUAUUAGAUAUAUUAUAUUUAAUCCCUGAUCGCGCAGAAAUAUCUCAAUAUCAAUCUAAAAUCUUGAUUAUUGUUAAAUUUUAUGAAUGCAAUUCUCCAACAAUCUCCAACAAAUAUAGAUACGAUUCCGAAUCGUGAAAUAAUUUUUGAAAUCAUAUAUAAUUGCAAUUCGAAAUCAUAAUUGAUCAAUCAAAUGGUAUAUCUUGAAUUGAGAAAAUUUCACAAUUGCUCACGAUCAAAGAUAGUAUCUUCAUCGCCACUCUUGUUCGACAUCUCCAAGAGAAACGCGUCAAUCAAAUCGCGUGGAUUAUCGGAUGGCUCGUUUUCGUGCAUCUUGAUCUCCUCGUCGAGGAAACCCCAUAUUUUUUUAUGGAUCCUCAUCAGUUCGUUAUAUCCCGAUUGUUCUGGGAUAACAAAACGUAAAAAAGGCAUCUGCGACAUCACUCCGCCCAGGGGGUCCAUUAAUCUAUGUAACAUCAAAUAUAUUUCGAAUUUUAUAGAUUUUCAUCAACCAUUACCUGAAGACGUCGUGAACGACCACGAGCACUUCUUGCACUUUUUGAUCCUCGUAGUCGAAUCUGUGUCCGGCAAUCAUGAACCAUAAGGCAUUAAGCACCGCAAUGUCAAAUAUAGUGUGCAUCAGCACUGGGCCAUGCUCGCUCAGCUUUUGCAGAUGAUCAACAAGCUCCCGAGCCUCGAUGACCAAUUGGUCUUUCAUAAGCGUUUGACCCAAGCCAAACAUUCGCAGGUGUCGCGUCGUAAAUCGACGACACUGGGUCCAUGUGUUAUCCUCGGUGAACAAAAUGCCUGUGCGAGAGAACGAGAGAAAUUUUUACAAAAAUUGUAUUCACCAGGGAAAGAAUGCAAAAAGCGCAGAACGCUACUGAGAAAAAUCCACUCUUCCGUGGUCUCGGCGCCAGUGAAAUCUCCUCAUCGACGUCCUCGUCUUCGCCGUCAUCAAUCGUGGAACGGGAGUCUGCGACGCGCAAUACUCGAUGUAGCCUAUCCAGACGGACAGUAACGGUGGCAUGGAUUAAUUUAUGUUGCUGUGUGGGUGCACCGAUACUUUCUCCACGGUCGAGGUCCUCUACAUGCUGGUCACCUGCCUCCCAUAGCAGACUCCACUUUCUCCAAUUUCGCAGGGAAUACGUGCGCGUAUUCGCGUUGCAUCAUCUCCAAGGUAAGUUCAGGAUAUGACGGCGAUUCAUUUUUAAAUUAGAUGUACCAUUUGAACAAUGCCGUCUUUCACCGAAACACAAGUGUCAACAUUGAAACACUCCCAUUGUUGAAUAGCAUUUCUGAAAAAAAAAGAAUUAGAAUUAAAAA